Molecule: non-coding RNA, 265 nt
Organism: Erythranthe guttata (spotted monkey flower)
Lineage: Eukaryota; Viridiplantae; Streptophyta; Magnoliopsida; Lamiales; Phrymaceae
Source: RefSeq, a predicted model, not a curated record
AAAAUCCACCGAGCCUUUGGUUUUCUUACUCCUCCAUCUUCGAUUUCUUGCUCUUGGGUUCUCCAAGCUAUGUAGGAGGCCGGCGGAGAGGAGUUCGAGGAAUCACGAGCUUUGGUGCCUAGAUCAUUUUACUCGUAUUUUCUACGCAACGUUUUAUCAAAAAACUAAUCACAUAGUAUAAUUUUAUUUUGUACUCUGAUUGGAACCCGGUCUAUUAAACGGGGGUAUCUUAAAUAAAGUUUAUUUCCUUCCGCUGUCUUACGAG